CCAUAGUGACAGACUCACAAGGGAAGAAUUGUCCUAACUAGGACUUGACUUAGCAUUUGAUGAAAGCAAUUUCAGCUAAUAAGCUUGAAUAAUAGCCUAUGGACUGAGCCCUGAAAUCAAUGGUUCACGGCCUUUAUGUACAUUGAGUCACCCAGAAAUGAUUUUGGAAAUUAUCUCUAUCUAUAUUCUACCUGCACAACAUAUCAUUUCAUCACUCUGGCGUGAAGCCUGGACUAGGAGCUUCACAGUGACCCCAUUUCUGUUCAGUUCCUAGAGCUGCUGCCACAUGGACAUAAAAUAGGCAGCUGAAAAGAAGGAAUUUAUUCACUCAGUUCUAGCAGUCAGACCUCUGAAGUCAAGCUGGUGACAUGGUGACACUCUCUGGAGGCAACAGAACAGAGUCCUCCAUUGUUUUCAGGUUCUAGAACCUGGGAGUCCUUGGCUUGUAGCCACACCCUUCCAGUCUCCUUUCUCCCUCUAUGUUGGCAGCAUCUUCUCAGUGUGUGGUCUCCUUUGUGUGUUUCUGAGAAGGAGCAUCACUGGACUUAGGGCCCAUUGGAAAUUCCGGGAAUAUUAUAUUUGAAGAACUUAACGGCGUCUAGACAGAGAAGUUUUCAAUGAUUCUGGAGGCUGGGACGUCCAAGAUUACAUGCCCACAUGUGGAAAUGCCUGAAGAGAGUUGUUCUGUUUCCAUGAUGGCACCUUGCUGCUGUCUUCUCACACGGCAGAAGGAAGAAUGGCAAGAGAGAUUUCCCAUCAUGCUCCAGCCUUUCUAAAGGGUGAUAAAGGCAUUUGAGAGCAUGAGACUUGCAUGACUACACCAUCUCCCGUGUACUGAUGUACGCAUGAGGAAGUCUGCACUCGGGGAAGCUGAGCAAACACAGUGGUGGUGACGUCAUGGUGGUGCAGACCUCUGGACAUGGUGUGAUGGCAAGAGUAUGGCUCCCAUGUGUUUUCCCACAUUAAACCCGUGACCUCAAUCUAAUCAUGGGAACCACUGCCAAGAAGAGCUCAAGGAGAUGUCAUGGUCAUGUACUUUGGUAUCUUGGAAGGAAUCUAGAAACAAGAAAGUAACACUAGAUAAAAAAGCAAGACAAAACAAAACAAAAAACUGGAAAUGGGUCCAGACUCCAGGUAAUAAUGAGCCGAUAUUGGCUCAUCAAUCAUGACAAUAGCGUAAAUGAUGCUAAGGAAAACUAGGUUGGUAGCAUAUGGAUUUGGAGUCUAUAUACAAUAUUCACAUUUUUUUCUGCAAAUCUGAAAAUGAAAAUUAACUCUGUAAGAAAAAAAUUAUUGAAGACAAUCUCUGUCUAAGAAUCUCAUCAAAUAAAAGUGCGGUGAAUAAAAAUGACAGGAACAGGGAGGGCUUAGAUAUUAACUUGAACUAAUUAAUGGCUUUAUCUACCUCCUCAAAUCCAUUCAUCCAGGCUCAGAUUGAGUGUAUACCUGUCAUUUCCUGGGUCAUUUCAGAGGAAAUGAGGCCAUUAUGGUGAAAAAAAAAAAAAAAAAGGCAUAAUCCCUACUCUAGAGAACCAGCUGAGUAGAGAAGCAUCAUUAAAGUAACUAUGUGAAGAAAUGUAGAAUUCCUUAGGGGGUUGGUGUGCUGAAGGAGAGGUGUGCACUCCGUGUACACAUAGGAGGAGCACUUGAAUCCAUCAGAGAGAUGCUAAGAAAGCCAUGUCUAACAAAGUCACACCCCAGUGUUAACACUCCAGCCCCUGUGAGAGGGCAGAGGGCACGGGAGCAGCCACUGGUGACAUCUCAGCUUCAUUUUGUCCAUUGUCAGCCUGACCAGAUCGGCUAUUUUACAAACCAUUUCCGUUCCGUUGAGUUUCUGAUUAUUGUCAUCUUGUAGGCAGCUGCUUCUCACUUGAAGUGUGGGGACAAGUGAGAUUUGAGCAAGGUCUGGAGACUUCCUCACAGUUCCACGUGAGAGACAUUUUGUUUUAGGGUUUUACAAUGUAAUUUCCAAUGUAUUUUUCCUCAGUCUUUUCUGCCAUUAACGAUUUCUCCUUUGAUAAAACAAGAACAUUUGCUUGUUUCUUGAGAAAUAAGAAUUAUCCCAUGGUGACAUUCCUUGCAUUUGGUGACUGGGAUGGAUGUCUCCUCGAAUCCUCCAGACAUUGUUAAGAACAAAAGGCCUUUAACCUCUUCCUUUUGCUCAUUAUGUAAAUUCUAUUUUUCAGCUUUUUUCUGCCCCCUCCCACCCCAGCAUUCACUUCCUUUCCCCUUUAUUUUCCUGAGUAUUUUUUUCUUUCAUCUCCUCCCCAGGACAGAUGCUUUUGUUCAUACUCAUUUGGGGUUGCAGGGGAAUAUACUAAGCCCAUUUAUGUAUUUACCUUUAUAUCUAUUUUGAAUGUGGCAAAGGACGAGGAAAUAAAAGGAGCGGGCUGGGUCUCUCUCCUGCAUAAUGGCAGGAGCUUCCGGGAAUGGCAGAGUCUUUGCUGAGCAUUAAGUGGUAAUCUGGUUGCAUUGUGAGAGAUAGCCGAAGAGGCAAUGUUCUAAUCUUUUCUGAGUAACAGCAGCUCAAGUAAAUUAAUUACAGCUUAGGAAAUCAACACACUCUCCCAACACAUAGGCACAGUUUUCCUACAGACACAAUGAGACAGCGCUAGCCCAGAAAUCAAAUAAUCCCCAUAGCCGCUGCUGACCUUUGCCCUUAUUUCCAUUCCUGCUUAAUGUUUUAUGCAGCAGGAACUAAGUAGGUGAAUGUCAGAGAACCGGCUGUGAUUAUUUUUAGUUUAAACAACAGUGCCCGUCCAAGAUAAAUGCAUGGGUGAGAUAAAUUUUACCCCCGAGAGCUGCUCAUCUUUCUCGCCUCUGCCAUUGUCUCUGCGCUGGCCCCACACAUGGCUCCUGAACGGCUAAGUUACAUCAUCACAUUAAAUGAGGAUAGGCACACUUCAAAGGUUCAGAGCCAAGAUGCACCUGGACUUUUAGAUUCAGACUUGAAAGCGAGCUCACAUUAAGUGAUCCGUGAAGUCGUGUUGGAGCCAGCUAAUACCGUUGUCAGAGUUCUCUGAAUAGUUUUUAAAUGAGACAAAUUGAAUGCAGGACUUCAAGGCUUCCACAUUAUUCCCUCUAAAUUGAUGCCGUGAAAGAGAAAAACGAUUGAAAGUUUUACCAAAAUUGAAUAUUAAAAAGGGUCCCUGUACCAGUCCUCACGGCCAGUCAUGUAACAAGCUGUGUUCAUUAUAGUCAUCAAUAUAGUCAUUAAACAAGAAAAUAUGUGUAAGUUGUAGUUUGGGGCCCAUUAAAACAAUACUAUUUAUCAA
Peromyscus eremicus (cactus mouse) is the source of this 3275-nucleotide long non-coding RNA. RefSeq lists it as uncharacterized. Lineage: Eukaryota; Metazoa; Chordata; Mammalia; Rodentia; Cricetidae. The transcript has 2 exons. The record is from RefSeq and is a predicted model, not a curated record.